Long non-coding RNA from Vespa mandarinia (Asian giant hornet), 4743 nucleotides. NCBI's taxonomy places the organism in Eukaryota, Metazoa, Arthropoda, Insecta, Hymenoptera, Vespidae. The record is from RefSeq and is a predicted model, not a curated record.
CAACCUCCAAGUGGUGAGACCCGGGCAAUCGAUAUUACUUGGGAUGUUCUUUAUUUAUUUAUUUGUUUAUUAACAACGCAAGUACUGUCGAGCUGAUGGCUGCAUUUAAAUUCAGUCAAAAUUUAAAUGUUUUAUCAUAGAAUUUUUAUCUUUCGGAUUGUUUUUUAAUUAAAUAAACAAUAUAUUGAUGAUCAAUAGAUAAAUCCUAAUAUAAUAAAAAUAAUGAAUAUAUUUAUAAAGGAUGUAUUAAUAUAAAUAAAAAAAAAAAAAAAAAAAAAGAAACAUUUUAGAUAUAUAAGGAUUUUAAAGAAACUUGUGAAGAAGAUAGAAGAGGACGAAAGAGGACAUCCUGUUUUCAAAAGAAAGGAUAAAAAAACGUUUAAGGAGUUUCAAGCGAGGAACGACACGAGCUUUAGACAAUUAGUCCAUAAUUAACUCGGAGACAGACAGUUGGGGUUACGCUUGGAGCAUAAAACGCUAUCAACCCUUCGGGUACAACAACCAAGGUUUAUGGGAGUAUGCAUAGAAGCAAAAAUAACCAGACACCAGAUCACCCCUUUUACAAAUGCAGACGCACGUUCUAUUCGAAUCUUUGUCUCUAUCUACUGAAAUGAAUUAUUUUAAUCGUCUUUUUAUUAUCAUUCACAUCAUUGGAUAACUUAGAAACAUUAAUGCUUGUAAAUUCAUUCGUCGUAUUUUUAUCUUUCUCUCGUUCGAUGUUGUUAACAGAUAGAAAGGACAUUUUCUAUCCCAGAGAGACACGUGUUUCAGCACGAGUUUACGAUCAGAACGAUUUAUUAGCUCGUCUAAUAGCUUGGUAAAUCUUGUAUAUGUACGACAUGAGCCAGGUGUUAAAUUCAAAUUGAUUGUAAAAUUAUGAACGCGUGUCGUGUUCAGGACGAUGAAUUUCGAAAAGGAUCAUGUUGAUUCUUAGAAGAAAGAAGUGUAUCCAAGAUUCUGAUUCAUCGUAGAAAUACCAAGAAGCUUACACACACGAUUGUCUGCUCACUAUGUCUCCUCAGAAUCGAAAGAACAAAGAUCAGAACGUACGAUACUUUUGUCUCGUGCGCGGCUAAUGAAAGGGAAAAAAUUCAUGUGACUGAUGAUGAAGAAAGCACAAGAAGAGUCCGUCUGUCAAAACGAAGUCUGUGCCUUGUCAAGGGACGUCUUUAAGGUGAACAUGGAACCGAAAAGGAAAGGAACGAAGGAAAGAACUUUUUUUUUUCUUUAAGUAAUCGUCAUCAUUAGAAGUGUUCGUAGAAAUUAUAACAAUUUUUUGAUUACCAUAUAAUUACGAACUGGAAAUUUAUCGCGAAUGAUGACUGAAUCACCAGGUCCAUUCAUACGUAAACUCGUUUGAUUCAGAAAGUAAUCUUUCAUCACCACCAUCUAUAUAUAUCAUCAUCAUCUUUAUCAUCAUCAUCAUCAUCGUCAUCGUCGUCGUCGUCGUCGUCGUCUUCGUCGUCGUCGUCUUCGUCGUUGAUGAGAACCGAAACACAUUCGAAAUGGAUUUCUGCUUCUUCUUCCGUUCUUACUUUCUCGACACUUUCCCGAACACUUGGAACAAUGGAGCCACGAAAGCCUGGGAAGUCUAAUUGUUGCUGAACGAAACGAACGAAGACACAAUUCGCACGCUCGCUUGGAAAUUUUCUGCGACUGGUCGAAACGGUGAAAAAUAAAAUGGACGUCAUCUUGGUUCGCCGCUGUUAUGUCUCAUUUAACCCGUCCUCUUAACUUCACUUGACCAAGUGUCAAUAAGUCGCGAGGCUACAACGAGACCAAAAAAUUCAUCCUCCACGGAGAGAAAAGCUCGACCGAGUUUCUUCUUCGUCAUCUUAUUCGGUGAUCGAGAUUUCCGUAUCGUCGUCAUACUUUAACGUGAUGAUUCAUGGUUGAAAGAGUACCACCAUUGUGUAUUGUUAAAGUUGAAUUCUGAUCGAGAUGAUCGAAGGAGAAGAACUACUACUGACUCGAUCGUGAAUGAAGGGAUUGCUUUGAUCAAUUCCUUGACAAUUAUUUGAUUCCAUCGAACUCGUAGACCGGAUCGCUCGAGAAUCGAUGUCUUUGUACUCUCUUCUGGGAUCGGAAGUGGCAUCACCAAGGAAACGUGGCGUCUAACUUUAUUCUCUUUUUUUUCUUCUCGUAUUUGACCGCACGAGAGAGAGUCGGGAGGGAUGGGAGGGACGGACAACGAGGGACAGGGAGGGCUAGGGAGGUUUGGCCCUCGAGCAUUGUACAGUCAGGAUCUCUCAAGGGUACUUGCACGAAACGUUUCCAGCUUCUGGAUAUGUUUAUUCUCAAGGACGUUAAAUGUGCGAGAUUCUCAGAAUGCAAUUUGUCGUCUUACUCAGUGACACCAUUGCCAUCUCUACCGCGAACUUUUGCGGUGACAUAAGCCGAUUUGGCGUCUGACUAUUAAACGUCACGAUGUGUCCUACGUACUUAUGUACGUGUAUGUAUAUACAUACAUACACGUAUAUAUAUACAUACACAUUGCGAAUGCAUUAGCACGUGCUCGCAAUGUGAACAUCGUAAUCUCAUACAGAGAGCCGAUGGAUCGAGGAAAGCAUCAUCUAAAUAUAAUCAUUACUUCUAAGAAUCUCUUGUACUUAUCUUGAAUGAGAAUUCAUAAAUUCCAAUGAUAAAAACGAGAAGGAACAGACGUAUAUGGAUUUUUUUUCAAGUAAAAGGAAAAAGAAAGAAUAGAAAAGAAAAGAAAAGAAAAAGGAAAAGAAAAAGAAAACAGAAAAGAAAUAAAGCGACAAGGAUUUGAAUUUGGUUCAUUCGAGAUAGAUCAAGGAUAAAUGGAGAUAAAGAAAGAAAAUUUAUUGAUUCAUCCGGGAUCAACCGGUUAGUGUGAAUUCCCCGUACCAAUACUCUUUCAACAGCACUUUCCCGUAUUGCAACGGACGGGGACCACGUGCUGGUCUUUUGCUUUCACCUCGUGCUACACACGACCAAUCCCCCAACGACAUUCAUGCUUGAGGAAUUCAAGUAAUCUCUACGAAUCGACCUGAAGUUUGAUCAAUCGGUCAAACUUCCGAUUCAUUUUUAAUUGAUUCACUUUUAAAAGUAUCUACAUGAUUAUUACGAAACUUGUUGUUGUACGCGAUUAGAAAUCGACGAUUAUAUGGCAUUAUACAUAGAUGGCAUUUGAAUCUAUUCAACGCGUUUAAACUGAUGCAUUUAAACUCCUUCUAAAUUAAAAUCCAAGAUGCAUUCAAGAGCCAAUCAUUCGACUUAGCCUCGAGCACAAUUUCAAGCUCGAUGAUGAAUUAAACGCACGUCAUUAAGCUCGAUCUCUCGCGAAGUUCAUCCGAGCAAAACCUCCGACUAUUAUAUCUCUUUGAACGUACUUGGAAGGUAAACGAGAGGAAUCGUCGAGCGUUACGUAAUAAAUGAUUACGCGGCCGUUAGUUAAGCAACGAAUUCCGGUUUGCAGUUACUUCUCAAAUCAAGGAUGUAACAUCGUUUUAUUCUUCUUGCUGGCCGGCCUGUCUGUGCAUGUGUGUGUGUGUGUGUGUGUAAGUGAGUGUAUGGUAUCGACCAUUUCAAUCGGUUGGAAUUAUCACCAACUGACCUUGGCCAAGAAACGUUCCUCGUGGCAGAAUGUUACGAGACAAGUUCGAACGAGGGCUCUUCUCUCUAGGUUUCGUGGAAAAACGGGUAAACGGCAUAGAUAAGGGAGAACAGAGAUAACGGCGAGACAGUGAGGAUGCAGAUAAACCGGGAAGAAGACCACUUUACGAUUUUAUUUAUUUCAAAUGGCGUUGCGACCGAACGGGGUUCUUUAUCGCGACGGAAGCCAAAGCCCCAAGCUAAUUCUUAGUACUAAUUGGACGUAACGAGACGACAUCGUAGAAAGAUCCUUCGUGUCUUUGGGAAUCGACCUUCACACGGAGUCAUCGAUGCGAAAAUUUUUAAUCGCGUAUCCAUUGAAAGCUUAAACGAGCCCCUGCGGUCGUCGUUCCGAGCUCCCGGCUCUCUGAGAAAGGAAAGCGAACGAAUGAACGAAUGAACGAACGAACGAACGAACGAACGAACGAACGAACGAACGAACGAGUGAGAGAGCUAGUUGAUCUUCUCUCUUUGUCAGGAGAGACCUAUUGUCUCUCCCAGGAUGGAUGGGAACCGCGGCACCUCCGGCACGGAUGGUGGAUAUAGUCUCGGAGAUUAUUUCUUCGAAGAGUCUUGCUUCCGUUUGAAUUCUUGACAAGCGCUUAGAAUCAUUCUCUCUUUGGAAGGGAUAAAAGCAACCAACAACAGCCAGACCGGCAUAUAUCUCAUAUGCAUAUGCAUCGAACACCAAUAUCUAUCUAUACCAUGAACGCGUGCUUCUAUGUAACAAGAGACAUCCAUGUAUAUAUAUAUAUAUAUAUAUAUAUAUAUAUAUAUAUUUAUAUAUAUGUAUGUAUGUGUCUAAGUACCAAUAUAGAAGGAUGGAAAUCUUUGUGUUUGUGUGGUAUGGUGGGUGUUCAGAACCGUACGAUGCGAACUUGUUGUUUAUUCCUCGUAUCGACAUGGCACCUACACGAGAACUCGAUGUCACUCUCGAUGCACACUUGGAACGACACAACGUGCAUUGGUCACUGCACUUCCGUCCUCGAGAAACAUGCUCGCUCGCUCUGUUCACGAAAAGAUACAAAAAGAAUAGAAGAAGGGAAUUCCUUUAUAUUGUAGAUCAUUGCGGUCAGCGAUCUCACAGAUCUAGGCCAUUAUAGAAUACAAUAAUAAUGUUGUAGA